CCCGGCGGCACUAGCGCGGUGGUCCCGCCUGACCGCAUGCCGAACUCAGAAGUGAAACGCCGUAGCGCCGAUGGUAGUGUGGGGUCUCCCCAUGCGAGAGUAGGGAACUGCCAGGC
Molecule: ribosomal RNA, 116 nt
Filed under: Salmonella enterica subsp. enterica serovar Typhimurium
Lineage: Bacteria; Pseudomonadati; Pseudomonadota; Gammaproteobacteria; Enterobacterales; Enterobacteriaceae
Source: RNAcentral